GUCGAGAAUCUUUCACAAUGGGGGCAACCCUGAUGGAGCGACGCCGCGUGGAGGAUAAGGUCUUCGGAUUGUAAACUCCUGUCAUGCGUGAACAAGGUUGCUUGGUUAAUACCUGGGCAAAUUGAUGGUAACGCAAGAGGAAGAGACGGCUAACUCUGUGCCAGCAGCCGCGGUAAUACAGAGGUCUCAAGCGUUGUUCGGAAUCACUGGGCGUAAAGGGUGCGUAGGUGGCGUGGUAAGUCAGAUGUGAAAGCCCGGGGCUCAACCUCGGAACUGCAUCCGAUACUGCCAUGCUAGAGUACUGGAGAGGUGACUAGAAUUCUCGGUGUAGCAGUGAAAUGCGUAGAUAUCGAGAGGGAUACCAAAGGCGUAGGCAGGUCACUGGACAGUUACUGACACUGAGGCACGAAGGCCAGGGGAGCGAACGGGAUUAGAUACCCGAGUAGUCC
RNAcentral lists this ribosomal RNA (449 nucleotides) under uncultured bacterium. Its description in RNAcentral is "partial 16S ribosomal RNA". It matches the Rfam family "Bacterial small subunit ribosomal RNA", at positions 354 to 796 of the family's 1533-position model. The record is from RNAcentral.